UGGGGAAUUUUGGACAAUGGGCGCAAGCCUGAUCCAGCCAUGCCGCGUGCGGGAAGAAGGCCUUCGGGUUGUAAACCGCUUUUGUCGGGGAAGAAACGCUCUGGGCUAAUACCCUGGGGUAAUGACGGUACCUGAAGAAUAAGCACCGGCUAACUACGUGCCAGCAGCCGCGGUAAUACGUAGGGUGCAAGCGUUAAUCGGAAUUACUGGGCGUAAAGCGUGCGCAGGCGGUUAUGCAAGACAGAUGUGAAAUCCCCGGGCUCAACCUGGGAACUGCAUUUGUGACUGUAUAGCUAGAGUACGGUAGAGGGGGAUGGAAUUCCGCGUGUAGCAGUGAAAUGCGUAGAUAUGCGGAGGAACACCGAUGGCGAAGGCAAUCCCCUGGACCUGUACUGACGCUCAUGCACGAAAGCGUGGGGAGCAAACAGGAUUAGAUACCCUAGUAGUCCCUGAG
RNAcentral lists this ribosomal RNA (454 nucleotides) under uncultured bacterium. RNAcentral describes it as "bacterial SSU rRNA". It matches the Rfam family "Bacterial small subunit ribosomal RNA", at positions 355 to 801 of the family's 1533-position model. The record is from RNAcentral.